RNAcentral lists this ribosomal RNA (450 nucleotides) under uncultured bacterium. RNAcentral's name for it is "partial 16S ribosomal RNA". It matches the Rfam family "Bacterial small subunit ribosomal RNA", at positions 338 to 795 of the family's 1533-position model. The record is from RNAcentral.
CCUACGGGUGGCUGCAGUAAGGAAUAUUGGACAAUGGAGGCAACUCUGAUCCAGCCAUGCCGCGUGAAGGAUGAAGGCCCUACGGGUUGUAAACUUCUUUUCUCUUAGAAAAAACUACUGGUUUCGUACCGGUACUGAUUGUACAAGAGGAAUAAGCAUCGGCUAACUUCGUGCCAGCAGCCGCGGUACUACGAAGGAUGCAAGCGUUAUCCGGAUUCACUGGGUUCAGAGGGUGUACAAGUGCGGUGGUGAAAGCCCCCGACUCAAUCGGGGAACUGCCAUAGAUACUGUUAUUCUUGAGUGUGGUGGAGGCGGAUGGAAUAUGACAUGUAGCGGUGAAAUGCUUAGAUAUGUCAUAGAACACCGAUCGCGAAGGCAGUCCGCCAAACCAUUACUGACACUGAAACACGAAAGUGCGGGGAUCAAACAGGAUUAGAUACCCGUGUAGUC